RNAcentral lists this non-coding RNA (207 nucleotides) under Propionispora sp. Its description in RNAcentral is "T-box sequence". It matches the Rfam family "T-box leader". From Rfam's summary of the family: Uncharged tRNA acts as the effector for transcription antitermination of genes in the T-box leader family. T-boxes are found upstream of many aminoacyl-tRNA synthetase genes and some amino acid biosynthetic genes usually in Gram-positive bacteria. The record is from RNAcentral. Lineage: Bacteria; Bacillati; Bacillota; Negativicutes; Selenomonadales; Sporomusaceae.
GAUAAUCCGAGGAAACAGAGUAGUAGGCUCACUGGAUGGUGCAGAGAGUUGGCGGUUGUUGCGAGCCAAACCGGAAGAAGCCGAACUCGCUGCGGAGGGGCAGGCGCGAGAGGUAGCGGCUGACGUGUGAUCAGCGUUAAUGAUCCAGAGAGGACGGCGCUGUAGUCGUCAAACAGGGUGGUAUCGCGGGAAAUGCUCGUCCCUGGC